This 380-nucleotide ribosomal RNA is filed under the name uncultured Cylindrospermum sp. RNAcentral's name for it is "bacterial SSU rRNA". It matches the Rfam family "Bacterial small subunit ribosomal RNA", at positions 376 to 770 of the family's 1533-position model. The record is from RNAcentral. Lineage: Bacteria; Bacillati; Cyanobacteriota; Cyanophyceae; Nostocales; Nostocaceae.
CGAAAGCCUGACGGAGCAAUACCGCGUGAGGGAGGAAGGCUUUUGGGUUGUAAACCUCUUUUCUCAGGGAAUAAAAAAAUGAAGGUACCUGAGGAAUAAGCAUCGGCUAACUCCGUGCCAGCAGCCGCGGUAAUACGGAGGAUGCAAGCGUUAUCCGGAAUGAUUGGGCGUAAAGGGUCCGCAGGUGGCAAUGUGUGUCUGCUGUCAAAGAAUGAGGCUUAACCUCAUCAAGGCAGUGGAAACUACAUAGCUAGAGUACGGUCGGGGUAGAAGGAAUUCCUGGUGUAGCGGUGAAAUGCGUAGAGAUCAGGAAGAACACCGGUGGCGAAAGCGUUCUGCUAGGCCUGUACUGACACUGAGGGACGAAAGCUAGGGGAGCG